Globicephala melas (long-finned pilot whale) is the source of this 2766-nucleotide long non-coding RNA. RefSeq lists it as uncharacterized. NCBI's taxonomy places the organism in Eukaryota, Metazoa, Chordata, Mammalia, Artiodactyla, Delphinidae. The record is from RefSeq and is a predicted model, not a curated record.
CUGGGAACGCCCGACACGGAAAUGUUUUCUUUCGACGCUGCGUAGGUCUGUGGGCGCUUGGCUUUUCUCUCUGUGGUUUUGAGAGUUAGCUUCUCGUGAACCGUUUGUCAAUAUGUGUGACGCACACGAGGGUAUGCAGUAUGAGGAGGAGGAGGAUGAAAUCCCCCAGAUUUGUGGCAAGAGGCAUGCUAGAUUGUAAUCAGCCAAGAUAUUUGCUGAAGUUUGAACAGCUUUACCUCUCCAAGCCCAUAAGAGAUGGUGCUGCUUCACCAGUGUUGCCACGUGAAGCCAGAUUAAGAAAUCUCACAAACAGUCAUUAAAGAAGGUGAAGAACAACUUCAGAUGCAGCAUCAGAAAACCUUUAUUGGUAAAGUUCCAGUUAUGUUGCAUUCAAUUUACUAUCUACUAAAUGGCUUAGCAGAUCAUGAUCUUUGUGAGUUACAUGGAUGCCUCUUGGAUCCUGAUGGCUACUUCAUUAUUAAUGGAUCAGAAAAGGUUCUGAUUGGUCAAGAGAAAAUGGCAACAAACACAACCUUUGUGUUUGCCAAAAAGGAUUCUAAAUAUGCCUACAGGAGAGUGUAGAUCAUGUCUGGAGAAUUCUUUUGACCCACUAUCUGGGUUAGCAUGCUGGCAAGAGGAGGACAGCCUACUCAAUGUGAAUCAAGACUACUAGGAUGGGGCUUCCCUGGUGGCGCAGUGGUUGAGAGUCCGGCCUGCCGAUGCAGGGGACGUGGGUUCGUACCCCGGUCUGGGAAGAUCCCACAUGCUGCGGAGCGGCUGGGCCCGUGAGCCAUGCCUGCUGAGCCUGCGUGUCCGGAGCCUGUGCUCCGCAACGGGAGAGACCACAGCAGUGAGAGGCCCAUGUACCGCAAAAAAAAUAAAAUAAAGCAAAAAGACUACUAGGAUGAAGACCUUUGUGAUGAUCCACUUCUACUUAAUGAAUAGUAGGCAGUCAUCAUGUGCUACAGUUAAUAAACUUAUUUGUUAUGUAUGUGUGUGUCUUUCUAUGAAAAUCUAAUAACUACUGCAAGAACCAUGAGACAUUGUGUCAUCACCACCAUCAUCAUCAUUGCCUAAAUAUCAUCAUGUAGAACAUCAUAUUCAAGACUUGUAUUGAAGUGGCUAGCCUACCUUAUAUAGGAAUAAGGUGAUACUUAAUAUAAAAUUAAUAAUGUAUUAGUUUUCCUACUGUUCUAUAACUUUGCUUUCAAAGUUAUAUACAUUACCAUACAGUAUGCCUCUGUCUUCCCUUCUAAUUGGAGAAACUGCGUAUCACGAUGUCACCAUAGGUAAGUGGAUUUUUAAAAAUGUAAGUGUUUCCAACACUGUAUUAUGAAUAUGACUGUAUGCCAUAACAUUUUUAUAAGGAUUCAUUCACUGUAUAAGCUAAGCUACUGUGAAGCAAUUGUAUCAAUUACACUAAGCUUACCAUGAAGUAAUCAUAUUGCUGCUUCUGUAUUAUUAUAUUAUAUAUAUAUAUAAAUAUAUCUGUAUAUAAAUAUGAAUUUGUUUUUACACAUUAUCUUUUCAUUUGUGAUGUCUAGAGUUAGUAAUUCACAUAGUAUCUACAGUGUUUCAUAUCAUAUACAAUAAUAUGGAUGUUAGGUACUGACAUAAUCUCAUAAACAGAUGACAUUAACUUGUAUUGAUAUAGUCUCUAGUUUAUUGUAAGAGUACAAUAAUAUUAUAUAUAGUAUCAUGUAUUUUGUAUAACGGUACUAUUAUCAUAUAGUAGUACUAUUGUAUAAUAGUGUAUGUGUAGCAUAUAAUAUUGAUACAAGUAACAUAAAAUAUGUGUUAAUUGACUAUAUUAUCGGUAAGGUGGUCAGCAGUAGGCUAUUGGUUGUUAAGGUGCGGGGGAGUCAAAAAUUAUAUAUGGAUGUUUGACUGCACUGGUGUUGGCACCCCUAACCCCCAUGUUGUUCGAGGGCCACCUGUACAAGCAUCCUUGAAAAGAUAGCCUGGAUCAAAGGCAGUCAUUGCCUCUGCUUACAACAUGUGCAAAACCAUGAGAGAUCCAUGGAGAAUUGUCUCCCAACAUUUAGUAGACAUUUGUAACAAGUAAUAUGCAUAAACUGAAAGAAAAAUAUUUUACUUUAAACAACUGCAGUCACUUGGUGAUGGAAUGUAUAUACCUAUGGGGCACUGCACAACUCCUCAAACCUUGGAAUCAGAUUGGACACCACUACCCCAUUCCCUGUUCCACAUUGAUUUCUUAGAGGACUUGCUUUUUAUCACAGCAACCACCAAAAACCUAGAUUCAGAAAUAUCUCAUGUCAUCAAAAAGUAGUGCUAUCUCAUGUUGAAACUGAACUACCUCAAAUUAGUAGUUUAUGUGGUAUAUAUCAGAUGUUGAGGAUUACUGUGUUUUUCUCAAAAAUUUGACACAUCCCAUGGUGCUCUUGUGAGCUCACUGAGGCACUUUGGGACAACUUGGGAACUAUAGCCCUAAGCAGUGGUGGAAGAAGCACUGAUUCUGAAUGACCUCACAGAGUAGCGCUGUUUCGGUAGCCUAGACUAAAUGGUUGUUGUUAUACCAGAGAGAAAUAAACUUCUAUCCUCUUCCAGUCAGAUCUGUGGAUGUUUUUGUUGCAGUAGCAUAGUCUCUAUCCUAAUUAGUACAAUCUCCUAAUAAAUUGGGCUGCGUCUCAUAAUGUAGUAUUUGAUGACAUGUUCUUGUAUUGUGAAAACAGUAUUCACUGUGUGUUUCUUUUGUCUUUCCAACUUCAGUCAUCACCUCAGUCCACAUUUAUUGAGCCCCUGCUA